Molecule: ribosomal RNA, 215 nt
Filed under: Glomeromycotina sp.
Lineage: Eukaryota; Fungi; Glomeromycota
Description: partial small subunit ribosomal RNA
Rfam family: Eukaryotic small subunit ribosomal RNA (bases 39-215)
Source: RNAcentral
GGUCAGUAGGUUGGUCGUGCCACCGGUACGUACUGGUCUCACUGAUUCCUCCUUCCUGAAGAACCGUAAUGCCAUUAAUUUGGUGUUGCGGGGAGACAGGACUGUUACUUUGAAAAAAUUAGAGUGUUUAAAGCAAGCUAGCGCUUGAAUACAUUAGCAUGGAAUAAUGAAAUAGGACGAUCGAUCCUAUUUUGUUGGUUUCUAGGAUUGACGUA